Molecule: transfer RNA, 76 nt
Filed under: Citrobacter freundii
Lineage: Bacteria; Pseudomonadati; Pseudomonadota; Gammaproteobacteria; Enterobacterales; Enterobacteriaceae
Description: tRNA-Lys
Rfam family: tRNA
About the family: Transfer RNA (tRNA) molecules are approximately 80 nucleotides in length. Their secondary structure includes four short double-helical elements and three loops (D, anti-codon, and T loops).
Source: RNAcentral
GGGGCGUUAGCUCAGUUGGUAGAGCAGUUGACUUUUAAUCAAUUGGUCGCAAGUUCGAAUCCUGCACGCCCCACCA